GAUGAACGCUGGCGGCGUGCCUAAUACAUGCAAGUCGAGCGAACAGACGAGGAGCUUGCUCCUCUGACGUUAGCGGCGGACGGGUGAGUAACACGUGGAUAACCUACCUAUAAGACUGGGAUAACUUCGGGAAACCGGAGCUAAUACCGGAUAAUAUAUUGAACCGCGUGGUUCAAUAGUGAAAGACGAUUUUGCUGUCACUUAUAGAUGGAUCCGCGCCGCAUUAGCUAGUUGGUAAGGUAACGGCUUACCAAGGCAACGAUGCGUAGCCGACCUGAGAGGGUGAUCGGCCACACUGGAACUGAGACACGGUCCAGACUCCUACGGGAGGCAGCAGUAGGGAAUCUUCCGCAAUGGGCGAAAGCCUGACGGAGCAACGCCGCGUGAGUGAUGAAGGUCUUCGGAUCGUAAAACUCUGUUAUUAGGGAAGAACAAAUGUGUAAGUAACUAUGCACGUCUUGACGGUACCUAAUCAGAAAGCCACGGCUAACUACGUG
Molecule: ribosomal RNA, 497 nt
Filed under: uncultured bacterium
Lineage: Bacteria
Description: partial 16S ribosomal RNA
Rfam family: Bacterial small subunit ribosomal RNA
Source: RNAcentral